AUUUUUUGAUUAUUUUAUAAAAGAAUUUUUUAUUUAUACUUUAAUGCCAACUAUUUUAUUUAAAGUAUAAUUUACAUUAUAUUCAAUUUAAGCAUUUUAAACUACCUUAGUUAACCUAAAAACAACUCCAUAUCCAUAAAUAUCCCAAAUGUAACUCGUUGCCUUUCCACAACUUUUCGGUUAUAAAUUUUCACAAGUGAAGAUGCCCUAGCUGUCUCACAAGGCCUGUAAUACCAAAACCUAGCUUUCAAAAUAGAAAUCUGCCAUGCGAUGAGAAAGUUUGCGAGGCGAUUUUACUUAAGUACAAUAUGUGCAAUAAGUGAACAAAACACAAAUAUAAAGUUAGAAAUUAUUUAUUGAUAAGAAACCCUCGUAGGACGGCAGACAUGAUUUCUUUUACGAGCAUGAGCUUCAUUAUGGUGUUGGGUACGACAUGCAUAUCCAUACCAGCAAUCUUCCCUGUUAAUUGCAUCAGCUGGUAGAAACUAUAAAGCACAAAUACCACAAAUAUUUAUUAGAACCAACCGAUGAGUAUUACAUACGCAGACAUUCUCAAUCUACCAUGCAUGAACACAAUGAGAUAGCAAAUCUGCUAUAUUUUAACAAAUUUUCUUUGCAAGUGCUGAAAAUAAUGCCAUCAAUAGUCCUAAAUUUGAAUAUCCAAAAAAACAUUCCAUCGUACUAAGAUAAUACUCAUGUAGACUGAACAUUCUAAUGCUACAUUUGGUAGGUCAUGUUGCAACGUAAUGCAAUUAAAUUUUCUAUUGAUUUCAAUUGAAAAUUUGAUGGCAUUACAACCUACCAAACGUAGCCUAAUUUCAUAAUAAUCAGGGUGCACCAAGAGAUACUGCUAUGCAAUUCAUAUUAAAUUAAUAUUUCAAUCUCAUGUAGUGCUUAUUUCAAAUUAUUUUAAUUGGUCUGAUGGAAUUUGCUUAAAUAGGAAAUCAUUUUUGAAAUAAUAAAAUACCCAAGUACAAGGCCAUUUUGGUCCUGCACAUCUUACUAGUGAAUUAAACAAUGCAAUAGAAAUGGAACAAAUUCCUAUUUGUAGAAAUACAAUCAAUGAUUGAAUAAACACAUUUUUUUUCCAAUAAUCGCACAAUUAGAAGUAAUUAUACUAAACUCUAAGACUGUUACAAUGAAAAAAAGGCACAGCAGCAGAACCUGUAGACGCUGACGAAAGUAAAGGAGAAAAUGAUUGAUGUUGGACCUUAAUUUUCCAUUCACACUAGAUUUGUUGAGCCCAAAAGAGACAAUAAUGUUAAUAUUUCCUCCCACUUUCCUUACCCCUCACUUUGUCUAUUUCCCAAACAAGGUAAAAUCAAUUUCCUUUCUUAUUUUCCCUGCUUUAUUUUCCUCUGUUCCCAACAUAGCAUUAGAGGAGGAUGGUGGGAUUUGAACCCUUAAACUCCAAUGCUACAAGGUAGCCAUUCAAUCAUUGGCUAGUAACUCAACAGCCCAAUGAUCCAUUGAACAUGUAAAUGAGAUGACCACUAUGCAAUACAAAGGUUAUACUUCUGUUCAUUGCCUCCUAGUAUUUUCCUUUUUUUGGGGUCAAAGCCACAGGCUAGCAUAUGAUAACCAACAAUCAAAUUCUGAAUAAUGUACCUUUCAAAUGACUAUUCUUUAUUGUCCGAAGGUCACAAAUUAAAAUGAGGAACAUAUAUCAGAUCUGAAACUGAAACUGAAACUUGGGGUAGUCCAAUCAUAUUGCUUGAAACUAACAAGACUUACAUGUCUGGGCAAUGAAACCCGAAACCAGUACAAGAGAAAGGAGACCAGUUUAUCAUAACAAUCAUUGCAAACAUGUGUUCCUGCAGUUAUCAUCUCAGCAUGAUUCAAUGGCAUUCUUGUCCGAUCAAUUUCUCCAUUGUUCAGCUUGCUAAUCCAAUCUGAGACAAUAUCUUGCAAUGUUUUUCCCAUCUGUCUGAUACACCUCGCAGUGAUAUCCUGUUCAUGCCGAUUCAUCUCAUGCGCCAAAAAUGGAAUCUGAGAGAUAGUGUGUUGAGAAACCGGUUUAAAAUUCUCAUUACCGCACACCAUUUGAGAGUUACUUCUGUGAACCCCUUGAGCAUGCCAAUAAGCACUGCAAAAUGCUCUAUCACAUCCCAAACAGUGUUGUGGUACAUUAAUAUCAGUUCUGGAAGGCAUCAUUCCUCCACAAGCUUGACAUUGCAAAUGGAUCAUGUGUUCACUGCAGUGAAAGCCACUAAAUUCUGUACCACAUUGAAGGCAUGGGAACUCCAUAUGUUCUUCUCCACUUUCCACAUCAUUUGUACGUGCCCGCUUCUUACCACUUUGAAUGACAAGAUUAGAUUUUAUUGAUGCAUAGGAAUCUAGAAGAGUAAUUUCUUCAUCUGAACGUUUUAAUGAAGAAUCAGCUUGAAGUAUAUCCUCCUCAAUGCUCUGCAGAAAGUGAUUUCUACCAACAAAAUGUACAGCUGCCCUACACUGAGGACAAAGCACAGUAGAUUGUUUCUCCUGUGAUCUCCUUAACCACUCUGAGAAACAUCCAUUGCAGAAGUUAUGAAGGCAAGGAGCAACAGUAACAACAUUAUGCCAGAUGUUUAAGCAGAUGCUACAUUUUGCAUGCUCAGCAUCUAUACAGAUCUUUAACUGCUGUUUGCAGGAUUCUGGAGGAGGCAUUACUUCAAAUCUGUAACUCAAAUAUCCAGAUGAUCCAGGUCCAGCCACCACUUGCACCGCCGUCCGUUGACCAGGUAAGUCGUCUUCUCCGUGUUCUUCUUCUUCUUCUCCGUUGUGCGAUGCGGCUGGUUUUUUAACCUAAUUAUUUUCCCUUUCUUGUAACAGAAGCUUUUCCGAGUCGGAUACGCGUUUUCAUCUUUCGAAAAUUUCGGAUACGGUCUCGAAACAUAUCUUAGCCGUAUCCUUCCGUUUCCGUUUCAUAAACGUUUUCAAAAUGCAAACACUCCAACCAUUGCCUUUUCCGUGCUUCAGAUAUGUCAAAC
RNAcentral lists this unclassified non-coding RNA (2969 nucleotides) under Hevea brasiliensis (rubber tree). Lineage: Eukaryota; Viridiplantae; Streptophyta; Magnoliopsida; Malpighiales; Euphorbiaceae. The record is from RNAcentral.